RNAcentral lists this ribosomal RNA (843 nucleotides) under Triticum aestivum (bread wheat). Its description in RNAcentral is "partial small subunit ribosomal RNA". The record is from RNAcentral. Lineage: Eukaryota; Viridiplantae; Streptophyta; Magnoliopsida; Poales; Poaceae.
AUGAGCAGCCCCCGCAGCCGCCGCCGCCGCCGCCGCUCGUCGGCGGCGCCGCUGGAGGACGAAGACCUCCUCUCAGAGAUCCUCCUCCGCCUCCCCCCGCUGCCGUCCUCCCUCCCCCGCGCAUUCCUCGUCUGCGAGCGCUGGCGCGGCAUCGUAUCCGACGCCCGAUUUCUCCGCCGCUUCCUCGACCACCACCGCCGCAACCCUCCCCUCCUCGGUUGCUUCGUCCAAGGUAUCUCCUUCGUCCGUUUCGAACCUACGCUGGAGGCCCCCAAUCGCGUCCCGCAAGCCCGCUUCUCACUUCCCAUCGACGCCGCAUACACCUAUGUGAUCCUCGGAUGCCGCCAUGGCCUCAUGCUCAUCUUCCUUUGGCGGCGGAACCAGCUCCUGGUAUGGGAUCCCCUCACCGAUGACUGGCACCACCUAGACGUUCCCCCAGGGUUUGACAAGGAGGAAACCAGGAUUAGCGGAGCUGUGCUUCGUUCUGCCGGAGUUGUCCACCACUUCCAGGUUGUCUUGGUAGGCAACAGCGGCAUACAACCUACACAGGCUGUGGCCUCGGUGUACUCGUCAGAGACCGGUGUAUGGAGUAAUCUCGUGUCGACACCGCUUCCGGCCGACGAUCCUGAUGUACUCACCGAGGUUUACCAUGACAUGUGCUCUGUGAUGGUUGGGAAUUCCCUUUACUGGUUGCUUAUAGGGAAUUCAUUUGGAAUACUUGAAUUUAAUUUGGAUACGACAGAGCCUAACUGUGAUACAUGUGCUAGUGGACAUCGUCGACAAUUGCUCCUUCACGGUUAUAUGGUCGGAGGGUGGUGGCCUUGGUUUCGUCUUCCUGUCUGA